AAACAUUGCUAGGGGCGCAUUUCGCUGAGAUUGUAUCUUCAGAUACUAACCCUCACUACUUGAACCGGAUAAUACCGGCGUAAGGAAGCAACGAGACAUCUUU
This 103-nucleotide non-coding RNA is filed under the name Clostridium sp. RNAcentral's name for it is "TPP sequence". It matches the Rfam family "TPP riboswitch aptamer (THI element)". From Rfam's summary of the family: Vitamin B(1) in its active form thiamin pyrophosphate (TPP) is an essential coenzyme that is synthesised by coupling of pyrimidine and thiazole moieties in bacteria. The previously detected thiamin-regulatory element, thi box was extended, resulting in a new, highly conserved RNA secondary structure, the THI element, which is widely distributed in eubacteria and also occurs in some archaea. Lineage: Bacteria; Bacillati; Bacillota; Clostridia; Eubacteriales; Clostridiaceae. The record is from RNAcentral. RNAcentral also lists the same sequence under 1 other name.